RNAcentral lists this transfer RNA (87 nucleotides) under candidate division WOR-1 bacterium RIFOXYA2_FULL_41_14. RNAcentral's name for it is "tRNA-Ser". It matches the Rfam family "tRNA". Rfam says of the family: Transfer RNA (tRNA) molecules are approximately 80 nucleotides in length. Their secondary structure includes four short double-helical elements and three loops (D, anti-codon, and T loops). The record is from RNAcentral. RNAcentral also lists the same sequence under 3 other names. Lineage: Bacteria; Bacillati.
GGAGGGAUGGCAGAGUGGUUGAUCGCACCUGUCUUGAAAACAGGCAUGCCUUCACGGGCAUCGGGGGUUCGAAUCCUCCUCCCUCCG